Molecule: ribosomal RNA, 491 nt
Filed under: uncultured bacterium
Lineage: Bacteria
Description: bacterial SSU rRNA
Rfam family: Bacterial small subunit ribosomal RNA
Source: RNAcentral
AGAGUUGAUCAUGGCUCAGGACGAACGCUGGCGGCGUGCCUAACACAUGCAAGUCGAGCGAGGAGAUCCUCGGGAUGAUCCUAGCGGCGGACGGGUGAGUAACACGUGGGCAACCUGCCUCAUAGAGAGGAAUAGCCUUCCGAAAGGGAGAUUAAUACCUCAUAACAUUGCAGUUUCGCAUGGAACAGCAAUUAAAGGAGCAAUCCGCUAUGAGAUGGGCCCGCGGCGCAUUAGCUAGUUGGUGAGGUAACGGCUCACCAAGGCGACGAUGCGUAGCCGACCUGAGAGGGUGAUCGGCCACAUUGGGACUGAGACACGGCCCAGACUCCUACGGGAGGCAGCAGUGGGGAAUAUUGCACAAUGGGGGAAACCCUGAUGCCAGCAACGCCGCGUGAGUGAUGACGGCCUUCGGGUUGUAAAGCUCUGUCUUCAGGGACGAUAAUGACGGUACCUGAGGAGGAAGCCACGGCUAACUACGUGCCAGCCGCCGC